UACGUAGGCAGCGAGCGUUGUUCGGAGUUACUGGGCGUAAAGGGUGUGUAGGCGGUUGUUUAAGUUCGGUGUGAAAUCUCCCGGCUCAACUGGGAGGGUGCGCCGAAUACUGAAUGACUAGAGUGCGGGAGAGGAGAGUGGAAUUCCUGGUGUAGCGGUGAAAUGCGUAGAUAUCAGGAGGAACACCGGUGGUGUAGACGGCUCUCUGGACCGUAACUGACGCUGAGACACGAAAGCGUGGGUAGCAAACAGG
RNAcentral lists this ribosomal RNA (253 nucleotides) under uncultured bacterium. RNAcentral describes it as "partial 16S ribosomal RNA". It matches the Rfam family "Bacterial small subunit ribosomal RNA", at positions 524 to 776 of the family's 1533-position model. The record is from RNAcentral.